Lagopus muta (rock ptarmigan) is the source of this 903-nucleotide long non-coding RNA. RefSeq lists it as uncharacterized. The transcript is spliced from 3 exons. NCBI's taxonomy places the organism in Eukaryota, Metazoa, Chordata, Aves, Galliformes, Phasianidae. The record is from RefSeq and is a predicted model, not a curated record.
CUGAGGAACACAUGCUGCCCUGCCUGCUCCAGCCACGGUUCUGCUUGUGACCAUUGCCUUCCCCUCUGCUUUGUGCACUGACUGGGUGACAGAUCGUUCUGAGUUCAUAAAAGUUCAAUUCCAUCUGCUGAUGAACUAAGAGGACCUAAAAAUCAAAGGAGUACAUCGUUGUUGCUAGAUGCUCUCUCAAAAGAUGGCUUCAGCUGCCCUGGCCCAGGCUCGAUUUUGGCAACUGACCAAACAAAGUUCUUCUGUGUUGCUUGGUGUUUGCAGUUCAAGGAAGGAUAAACCAGCUGCUUCCCAAAAUGAACAGAAGGGUGUGGAAGGUGCCUGAUGAAAACUCUAGGUCACAGCAUAUGUUGCUCAGGAAUGGGUGGAAUUGAUUCUCCUCAUUUGAGAGCCAGCAAAACCAGGAGGCCGGACCAGCUUGCAGUUCUCAGAGAUGUCAACCCACAUGGUGUGCAAAGUCCUGGAGCUGCUUGAACUUCAACGUUUCUGGAUGCUUUGACUUUGUUGCACAUGUUUAUGCAUAGUUUACGCUCUCACCUAUAUGUGACUUGAUAUCUUAUUGUGUUUUCAGUAUGCUCGUUGACCUAUUCCAGCUAUCCAAAGAUGAUGGUGCAUUUCCUUCCAGUAUUUUAAAUUUUAAAUUCAGAGGAAAAAUUAAAGGAGAAUUUCAAAUUCCAGAAAUGCUCUCUGAUCCAUGCCCCUUCAGCAUCCUGGUCCUGCUGUGGCUUGUUGAUGUAUUGGCUACACAAGGAGAGGACAGCAGCUGGUGAUGGGCAAAUUAGAAGUCAGAUGGGGCCUGAUACUGUGACAAUGAUAUAUUUAAAACAGCAACAAACUGCCCUUUUUUAUCAGUAUAUUUCUGUAAAAGGUGGGAGAGGGACUGCAGGUCUGGAA